This 24-nucleotide non-coding RNA is filed under the name Arabidopsis thaliana (thale cress). The record is from RNAcentral. Lineage: Eukaryota; Viridiplantae; Streptophyta; Magnoliopsida; Brassicales; Brassicaceae.
AUUCUUAUUCGCGCGCGCGCGUGC